This is a long non-coding RNA of Eupeodes corollae, 425 nucleotides long. RefSeq lists it as uncharacterized. The record is from RefSeq and is a predicted model, not a curated record. The transcript is spliced from 2 exons. Lineage: Eukaryota; Metazoa; Arthropoda; Insecta; Diptera; Syrphidae.
UCGGAUUAUAAACUAGUAUAAAUAAGCCAUGAUCAACAAUUGAGGCAUAUUGUAUAAUCACGAAUACAAAGAAUCUAAGUAAAGGAUCAAAAUGAACAAGCUUAUAAUUUUUGCAGGCCUAUUUGUUAGUUUGAUCUUCGUUAUGAACUCGGUUGUUGCUCAAAAUCCUUCACCUAUGCCUCCACCAAUGGGAAUGCCAAAACCUUCACUUGCAAGACUUCAUGGUGCAAUCAUUAGAAAUAACAUAAUGAAUUUAGGGCGUGCUUUAGAUAAUAAGCCUCAUAAUAAGCCAAUGACACAAGGUUUGGCUUUUCCAAAUGUAACAAAAGAACAAAUUGAAAAGAAAAUGAAAAAAAAUUAAAGAAAAAAAACAUUUUGUAAGUUAAAGUUAAAUGUUUUGAAAUAAAGUCCUUAAGCAUUUUAAA